This is a small nuclear RNA of Mastomys coucha (southern multimammate mouse), 165 nucleotides long. RefSeq annotates it as U1 spliceosomal RNA. The record is from RefSeq and is a predicted model, not a curated record. The transcript has a single exon. Lineage: Eukaryota; Metazoa; Chordata; Mammalia; Rodentia; Muridae.
AUACUUAUCUGGCAGAGGAGACACCAUGAUCAUGAACAUGGCUUUCUCAGGGUGAGGCUUAUCCACUGCACUCCAGAUAUGCUGACCCCUGAAAUAUCCCUAAAUGUUGGAAACACAACGGCAUAAUUUGUGGCCAUGAGGGGAUUAUAUUAACACUCUCCCUUG